CUGCUGCCUCCCGUAGGAGUCUGGGCCGUGUCUCAGUCCCAGUGUGGGGGGCCUUCCUCUCAGAACCCCUACGCAUCGUCGCCACGGUGGGCCGUCACCCCGCCGUCUAGCUAAUGCGCCGCAUGCCCAUCCGCCACCGGAUCGCUCCUUUGGCCACCGGAGGAUGCCCUCCGGUGGCAUCACGGGGUAUUAGGCCGCGUUUCCGCGGGUUAUCCCCCUGUGGCGGCCAGGUUGCAUACGUGUUACUCACCCGUGCGCCGGUCGCCGG
This 268-nucleotide ribosomal RNA is filed under the name uncultured bacterium. RNAcentral describes it as "partial 16S ribosomal RNA". The record is from RNAcentral.